UUGGGAAUAUUGGACAAUGGGCGCAAGCCUGAUCCAGCCAUGCCGCGUGAGUGAUGAAGGCCCUAGGGUUGUAAAGCUCUUUUGUGCGGGAAGAUAAUGACGGUACCGCAAGAAUAAGCCCCGGCUAACUUCGUGCCAGCAGCCGCGGUAAUACGAAGGGGGCUAGCGUUGCUCGGAAUCACUGGGCGUAAAGGGUGCGUAGGCGGGUCUUUAAGUCAGGGGUGAAAUCCUGGAGCUCAACUCCAGAACUGCCUUUGAUACUGAGGAUCUUGAGUUCGGGAGAGGUGAGUGGAACUGCGAGUGUAGAGGUGAAAUUCGUAGAUAUUCGCAAGAACACCAGUGGCGAAGGCGGCUCACUGGCCCGAUACUGACGCUGAGGCACGAAAGCGUGGGGAGCAAACA
RNAcentral lists this ribosomal RNA (402 nucleotides) under uncultured bacterium. RNAcentral's name for it is "bacterial SSU rRNA". It matches the Rfam family "Bacterial small subunit ribosomal RNA", at positions 355 to 774 of the family's 1533-position model. The record is from RNAcentral.